AACGAACGCUGGCGGCAUGCCUAACACAUGCAAGUCGAACGGGAUCCUAGCUUGCUAGGUGAGAGUGGCGGACGGGUGAGUAACACGUGGGAAUCUGCCUUUUUGGUUCGGGAUAACCGCGGGAAACUGCGGCUAAUACCGAAUGCCCUCGAGAGAGGAAAGAUUUAUCGCCAGAAGAGGAGCCCGCGUCCGAUUAGGUAGUUGGUGGGGUAAAGGCCUACCAAGCCGACGAUCGGUAGCUGGUCUGAGAGGAUGAUCAGCCACACUGGGACUGAGAUACGGCCCAGACUCCUACGGGAGGCAGCAGUGGGGAAUAUUGGACAAUGGGGGCAACCCUGAGUCCAGCAAUCG
RNAcentral lists this ribosomal RNA (351 nucleotides) under uncultured bacterium. RNAcentral describes it as "bacterial SSU rRNA". It matches the Rfam family "Bacterial small subunit ribosomal RNA", at positions 29 to 396 of the family's 1533-position model. The record is from RNAcentral.